RNAcentral lists this long non-coding RNA (682 nucleotides) under Equus caballus (horse). RNAcentral describes it as "lncRNA (ENSECAG00000058531.1)". The record is from RNAcentral. Lineage: Eukaryota; Metazoa; Chordata; Mammalia; Perissodactyla; Equidae.
UAUUGUGUCAAUUUCUACUAUAAUAAAUGAUAUAUCCUGAUCUAGAAUCUGAACUGUUAAAGAAAUUGUGCUACUUCCUUAGAGGUGAACUGAUAUGGAAACUUAGGGAUCUGAGAAACAAUUUUAUCUCCUCUAAUGCUAGAUUUUCACCCAUUUAAAACUUUCCCUUUUUCUUUGGUUCAGCUCAGCAACAAAGAAGCACCAUGUUAGAUCCUGGGGAUUUAAAGUGCUUCACUAAAAGUGAAUGAAAAUCAGCAGUUACUGUAUAGCUGUCCAGAAUUAAGCUGCACCACCCAUUUUCUAUGAACACGUUUUUCCCUCUCAACUAUAGUUUAGGACUCUGUGGUGAUUAUUAACACAGCAACCAACAGGUGGCGCUGCAGCUCUGUGCAACUCAACUCUACAGUCAACGACUUUUCUGCUUUUUUUACGCCUUGCCAACACCUUGGGCUCUGGAGAGAGGAUAACAAAGAUCAUCUUCACUCUGAUGAAUCUGUCUGUUUUCUAAAUCGCUCUUGGGCAAAAUGGCUUCAACAGCUGCCCAGGAAUGUUGAGGAUCAUGGACUGAAGAUGGAGUAGUGGUUCAGUUUAUUAUCCUUCUCCUGUGUCAUCACGAAAAAGUGACUCUGUGGGAAGUUCCUGUAAAAUGUAAUGCAGAAGGAGAGGAUAUUUAUCUGCCAAG